Molecule: long non-coding RNA, 731 nt
Organism: Hordeum vulgare subsp. vulgare (domesticated barley)
Lineage: Eukaryota; Viridiplantae; Streptophyta; Magnoliopsida; Poales; Poaceae
Exons: 2
Source: RefSeq, a predicted model, not a curated record
CUUCCUCCGCCGCACAGAGUCCAGAAGCCUCCCCGGCGUCGGCCGUGUCGGCACGUGGAGCUCCGUCGUGACGGCGAACAGGCGGACCAGCGUCUUCACCAGCUCAACCUCACCGUCGCGGUAGUGGUGAAGCAAGAGGCGACCUGUUGGUAGGCAACAACACCAAUUUGUUGAUGAGUAAUUAUACCAACCCAUCCAUCUUUUCAUUCAGUUUACUUUCAGAAAAUGCAUACAUCUCUGCAGUUAUUUCACAGAUAAAGCAACUCAUCAUGAUCUGUACAGUUGGAGUACAACAUGAUCUGCACAGGCAUUUGGUUGAGUUGGUGGCAGUCUGGCGGAUACACAUGAUUUGUGCAGGCAUUUGGUUGACCCUGCAAUCUAACCAUUUUUUUACCGGUGUUGCCGCGUUAGUGUUUGUGCUCAAAGGAUGGUGAAGCGCCCGUGUACAGGUCACAUGGGAGGUCCGUACAUCUAUGAUGCUCGAAUUAAUGGCCACCAUUUUUCUAUGCGCAACCAGAUGAGCAUACUUAGGGUCUAGAGAUGGCAUCGAUUCUGUGCUGCUGAUCGAGAUUUGGAUCAAUACUGAUUUUUAAAGGCUCUGUGCCUCAGUGGCUUUGUGAAUCCUAUGUAGGCAGUGAGUGGUGUCUGAGGUCAUUGUGUCGAUGGAAUUAUCUUGAACCGAAAUUUUGUUUGGAUGAAGAGCAAUACACACAAAUGCACCAUUUUUGGAA